This 207-nucleotide ribosomal RNA is filed under the name uncultured bacterium. Its description in RNAcentral is "partial 16S ribosomal RNA". It matches the Rfam family "Bacterial small subunit ribosomal RNA", at positions 568 to 774 of the family's 1533-position model. The record is from RNAcentral.
CGCGUAGGCGGCUUGGCAAGUGGAUGGUGAAAUCCCUCGGCUUAACCGAGGAACUGCCGUCCAAACUGCUUUGCUUGAGGCCGGGAGAGGCGAGUGGAAUUCCCAGUGUAGCGGUGAAAUGCGUAGAUAUUGGGAGGAACACCAGUGGCGAAGGCGGCUCGCUGGACCGGUUCUGACGCUGAUGCGCGAAAGCGUGGGGAGCAAACG